AUUGAACGCUGGCGGCAUGCCUUACACAUGCAAGUCGAACGGCAGCACGGGUGCUUGCCCCUGGUGGCGAGUGGCGAACGGGUGAGUAAUACAUCGGAACAUGUCCUGUAGUGGGGGAUAGCCCGGCGAAAGCCGGAUUAACACCGCAUACGAUCCACGGAUGAAAGCGGGGGACCUUCGGGCCUCGCGCUAUAGGGUUGGCCGAUGGCUGAUUAGCUAGUUGGUGGGGUAAAGGCCUACCAAGGCGACGAUCAGUAGCUGGUCUGAGAGGACGACCAGCCACACUGGGACUGAGACACGGCCCAGACUCCUACGGGAGGCAGCAGUGGGGAAUUUUGGACAAUGGGCGAAAGCCUGAUCCAGCAAUGCCGCGUGUGUGAAGAAGGCCUUCGGGUUGUAAAGCACUUUUGUCCGGAAAGAAAUCCUUGACUCUAAUACAGUCGGGGGAUGACGGUACCGGAAGAAUAAGCACCGGCUAACUACGUG
This 486-nucleotide ribosomal RNA is filed under the name uncultured bacterium. RNAcentral describes it as "partial 16S ribosomal RNA". It matches the Rfam family "Bacterial small subunit ribosomal RNA", at positions 30 to 507 of the family's 1533-position model. The record is from RNAcentral.